AGUUUGGCGGUUCUGGUACCGCUCUCAUAUUGGGGCGGGAUGUGGGAGCGGCUGAACUGCGCAGCAGAGGAGUUUUAUUCUCGUCUCCUUCAGUGUCCUGCAGAGAUAAAGUGAUGACUGACUCCUGAGUGUGAAUAACAGGAGAGAUAAUGUAGUUCUGUUUUUCACAUGUGGUUCUGCGUUUCAGGAAAUUUAAUGAAGAAAAGAAAGGAAUCCGUAAAGACCCAUUUCUCUAUGAGGCUGAUGUCCAAGUGCAGUUGAUCAGCAAAGGCCAACCAAACCCUUUGAAAAAUGUUCUAAAUGAAAAUGACAUAGUAUUCAUAGUGGAAAAAGUGAUGGAGUCUCGCUCUGUCACUCAGGCUGGAGUGCAGUGGCAUGAUCUCAGCUCACUGCAACCUUCACCUCCCGAGUUCAAGCGAUUCCCCUGCCUCAGCCUCCCAAGUAGCUGGGAUUACAGGCGCCUGCCACCACGCCUGGCUAAUUUUUUGUGUGUAUUUUUAGUAGAGAAAGGGUUUCACCAUAUUAGCCAGG
This 531-nucleotide small RNA is filed under the name Pan troglodytes (chimpanzee). Its description in RNAcentral is "processed transcript". Lineage: Eukaryota; Metazoa; Chordata; Mammalia; Primates; Hominidae. The record is from RNAcentral.